AAGAAUAUUGAAGUGAUUGACCUGGACACCAUUGAUGUCAGCAACCUCAACAGACAAUUCCUGUUUCAGAAGAAACAUGUUGGAAAGUCUAAAGCUCAGGUAAACUGUAUCACUGACUUCCACGUGUGUGAUUUAAAAAAUCAGACAAUGAUUCCCUCAGAACCCAUUCCCUGCAUCGUGUUGGCCAGAUAUCUCUUCAAGUAAGUUCUCUACACUAAUAUGUCUCGUUGAAAUGUAAUGAUUUGUAAUUUAUUUUGUUUUCCAUGUUUUGUUCUGUUUUGUUUCAGUUUUAAUGCACUUUCCACAAACAAUACUGAAUGUAAAGGAAAAUCCACAGCUGUGAAUUAAUGAUAGAGAGAGCGGUUGUGCGUGUGUGUAUUCGCUGUGUCUGUACAGUGUGUCUGUAAUAAUAGUGUUGCAAGUUUAAUUACUUCAGAAGCAUUGUGAAGUUGUUGUAGCCUUUUAAUGUGCUAUCGAAGCUUCUUUAUGAAUAAAUAUCGAGUUUGUAGCAUUGACAAGUUUUUGUGCUCCUCAAUGUUUCUGUAUGCACAGUGCAGUCUCUGAUGUUUGUGUGCUUCAGUGCAGCGCGGUAGAAUAGAACAGUGAUUAAACUGACAGGACUUUCCCUCAAAAACACAUUAAAACCACCAGUUGUUGACCAUUUACCACCACAGGGGUAGAAAACUGUAACCGUCGCAGCACUAGUCUCGUCACAGAGGCUAAACUGAUGAUAUUCAUAAACUACGGCCCUAUGAAAUCAGUUUGACCCAUUCCCAAAACCUUUUUUUUAUGUUUUUAUUUUUCAUAAGUAUGUUUUUAAUGGUUUUAAUUUUUAAUCAUCAAAAAGGAUUUCUAAUCAGUUAAAUUCAUAAAACUGUAACAAUUAAAAAUUUCUUCAAAUUAGCAAUAAUAGGGCACUAUGUAAUUAAGUUUUUUUCUCCCACCACGUUACAUUGUUUUAUGAUUUGAUACAAAUUUAUUGAAAAUGGUGGAUGUCAAAUAAAUUCAUAAUACUUUACCAAAAUAAGGGAACAAAUAUUGUGUGACAUUCCUUUUCCUAGAUUGUUUUAAUAAACCAUUUUAAUAAACUGUAUUAAUCUUAUUGUUAGUAUUACUUUGAGAAGUACGUUCUGCUUUAUAAUAGUAAAAUAUUUCGGUCAUCAUUUCUUUAAAGUAUUUUUUGGUGGGUUAAGUGAAGAGUUUCUGUGUGUAUCUGAUGAUAGUUUCAUCAAGGGAAAUGGUGUAUGAAUACUAUUAACUUGUAUUUGAAAGCUAUUUUAAUUAUUCUCCUCUGCUUGCAUGUUAUUUUGGAUUGCCUCCCUAGUCAGCUUUUUGGCGAGGAGGAUGAGGAUCAGGAAGUUUCACCUGACACAGCUGACCCUGAGGCUGCUUGUCUCACAUGCAGGACCUGAAGGAUGUGACCAAUAAUGUUCACUAU
Molecule: long non-coding RNA, 1438 nt
Organism: Cyprinus carpio (common carp)
Lineage: Eukaryota; Metazoa; Chordata; Actinopteri; Cypriniformes; Cyprinidae
Exons: 3
Source: RefSeq, a predicted model, not a curated record